AUAAAUUCCAACCAGUAACUCUCUUCUUUUCGAGCAAUUUACCCUUCAAGCGGUCGAGGAUCUGGCGAAAAGCAAGAGACAUGUACAUUGCAAUAUGAAGUCAAACGUUCCAAUUUCAUAGAAGUAACGACGAGAAAUAUGAAACCGAAUUAACUAUGUUCGCAAUAAUCAACCUUCGGAUUCCUUAUUUUUUCCACGGUUUCGAUGGAGAUCGAGUUAUGAAAGGUGAUCUGGAAACUUUUAAUGAUGUACUAGACGACACGUUUUAAUUAAUACGGAGCAACGAACCGUUGCGAUUAAAAGUUUGUUAA
This is a long non-coding RNA of Agrilus planipennis (emerald ash borer), 311 nucleotides long. RefSeq lists it as uncharacterized. The transcript is spliced from 3 exons. The record is from RefSeq and is a predicted model, not a curated record. NCBI's taxonomy places the organism in Eukaryota, Metazoa, Arthropoda, Insecta, Coleoptera, Buprestidae.